GAUGAACGCUGGCGGCGUGCCUAAUACAUGCAAGUCGAGCGAACAGACGAGGAGCUUGCUCCUCUGACGUUAGCGGCGGACGGGUGAGUAACACGUGGAUAACCUACCUAUAAGACUGGGAUAACUUCGGGAAACCGGAGCUAAUACCGGAUAAUAUAUUGAACCGCAUGGUUCAAUAGUGAAAGACGGUUUUGCUGUCACUUAUAGAUGGAUCCGCGCCGCAUUAGCUAGUUGGUAAGGUAACGGCUUACCAAGGCGACGAUGCGUAGCCGACCUGAGAGGGUGAUCGGCCACACUGGAACUGAGACACGGUCCAGACUCCUACGGGAGGCAGCAGUAGGGAAUCCUGCGCAAUGGGCGAAAGCCUGACGGAGCAACGCGGCGUGAGUGAUGAAGGUCUUCGGAUCGUAAAACUCUGUUAUUAGGAAAGAACAAAUGUGUAAGUAACUAUGCACAUCUUGACGGUACCUAAACAGAAAGCCACGGCUAACUACGUG
RNAcentral lists this ribosomal RNA (497 nucleotides) under uncultured bacterium. RNAcentral describes it as "partial 16S ribosomal RNA". It matches the Rfam family "Bacterial small subunit ribosomal RNA", at positions 28 to 507 of the family's 1533-position model. The record is from RNAcentral.